UCUCAUGUUUUACUGAACCUUUUCUUGCAAGUACUUUCAAAAGCUAGAGCUGAACACUAGAGAUUAAUUUCAGAAUACCACAGAAAAUAAGUCAUGUCUAAAACUCCUGUUGUCCUUGCCUUGAGAACACUCAUAUCUCACACUGUUAUCCAGCAUCCUUGAAUGCAAAAGUUCUUGAAACUGAAAAACAAUUUUCUACAUUUUUAUGGGUCAUUUUGUGCCAUGUUUUUAUUUUUUAAAAACUGCAACAAAAUAAAAUACUUCCCAUUCUGCUUCCAAAUAUUUGAAGCAAGUGGGUUUGCUUUUAUUUAGUUUUUCAGUUGAGGCUGUCUCUCUUCAUGCAUAUUAGCUUAGGCUCAGAUUAAGUUUUUGUAGAAAGGUCAGCGUAGGACAGAAAAAAUGUAGGCAAAGCCAAUGAUAAUAAUAAUAAUAAUAAUAAUAAUAAGUUAUUUCAUUAGGUAUUAUGUUUUUAUUCAGUCAUUGCUCCAUUGGCAACCCAGAAUAGCCUUACUGGUUGCCAUCUUUGAUUAAAUUUGUGUUUGGAUGCACAAUUGCAGUGUCAUACCCAUCUGACAUAGAAGUAUGGGCAGCUUCUGAAAUCUGGCUCAGCGUGCUGCCUCGUUAUAUUAGUGCUUAAUAAAAUCAUUUCCCAGAGCUGACUGGUGCAGUAGGUGCUUGGCAGCUGUGUGUGCGAGGGACAUGGUUGUGGGGAAGGGCAGGACUUAUCUGUUGACAGCAGUCUCUUGCUAUGUCUAUGACUGUCUCAGACCCCCUCAGCUCAAGAUGGUUGUCUGGGACUUUCCAGCCUCAGAAUCUGGUGCUUUUGCUUUGCUGAAGCUCAGCAUUAUAGAUGAAAGAUCUGUUUUAUUUUGGUUUAUAUAAGCGUGCUGUUAAUAAGAAAGAACUCUACCCAGUUUAUAAUGAUCCUUUCCAGAAAGUGGAGAGAUGAAUAUGUAAUACUUGGCAUGUGGAGCUGCAUUAAUGACAUUUUAAACGCUAAAUAAUAUUUUCAGUGUUGCAGUUGCAUUUUCUCACUCUGCGCAAGUUUAAAUGUUUUGUGAAAUGGCAAAGUAGGUUUCUGUGUCACUUAAAAGUUUCUUCUAAAAUUUACUUUUGUUGCUCCUUUAAAGCUGUUGCUUUAAUACUUCUUUUUUUUUAUCAGUAUUGUUAUAUUACUAGAUUGAGUCAAAUUUGUACCUUUAAAGUUUUGUAAAAGUAAUGAGUGCAUGCUUGUCAUUACAGGUGACAAAUCUGAUAUUAAGUCUAAAGUCACUAGCAUUUGUUACUUUGUAGUCUGUGUACUGUUCAGCUGUUUUUCAAUUUUCGUUUAAUUUACUGAUGAAAAUAGAGCAAUAGGCUGGCUCUGUCUGAAAAUGUAGUGAUCUCUAAGGUGAGCUUAAAAAUCCAUUCAUGAGUAGUUCACCAUGUGCUGAAUUUCAGGACCGUUUUUGAUGGAUCAACAUAUUCUUGUUGCUUUCACUGCUGGAUGUCAAGAAAAAAAGCUGUCACACUGGCGUGUUUGUUGCUCUCUGUUUUGCUUGAGCGAGAUGGAGCCAAGCACUGAAUUCCUGACUUCAUUUAAGCCAGAACAGUCCAGUGGUGGUGUUUGAUCGAUCGGCUUCUCUCCAGUCUGUUUUUUCUGGGAGGAUGCCGACAACAGCUGCUUGAGCCAGCUAAAUGCCGCUUCCCACACUUGUUCACAGCCCAUCCCAGCCUAAGGAAUAAGGGGCAGAGGGGCAGCUGUGCCCGAGGGCAGAAGUCCAGUUCUCUGUGAGUUGUCACUGGAUCCAUGCAGCAGCUUCCUUACUUUGGCAGCCAUUUCCUUUAGCUCCAGUUGACUUCAGCUUUUUUUUUUUUUUUAAUACGUACAUCUUUUGUCCAACAGAAGAAAAAAUUCGUUUUAUUGUACACUGUUCUUAAAUCAGCAACUGGGAAACUAUUAAAGAUGGAAAUGCAAAACUAA
Long non-coding RNA from Corvus hawaiiensis (hawaiian crow), 1963 nucleotides. RefSeq lists it as uncharacterized. The record is from RefSeq and is a predicted model, not a curated record. NCBI's taxonomy places the organism in Eukaryota, Metazoa, Chordata, Aves, Passeriformes, Corvidae. The transcript is spliced from 2 exons.